RNAcentral lists this ribosomal RNA (497 nucleotides) under uncultured bacterium. RNAcentral describes it as "partial 16S ribosomal RNA". It matches the Rfam family "Bacterial small subunit ribosomal RNA", at positions 899 to 1397 of the family's 1533-position model. The record is from RNAcentral.
ACUCAAAGGAAUUGACGGGGGCCCGCACAAGCAGUGGAGCAUGUGGUUUAAUUCGAUGCAACGCGAAGAACCUUACCCAGGCUCGAAAUGUAGUGGACAGUACCAGAAACGGUAUCUUCCGUAAGGACUGCUAUAUAGGUGCUGCAUGGCUGUCGUCAGCUCGUGCCGUGAGGUGUUGGGUUAAGUCCCGCAACGAGCGCAACCCUUGUCAUUAGUUGCCAACACUUAAGGUGGGGACUCUAAUGAGACUGCCUAGGUUAACUAGGAGGAAGGCGAGGAUGACGUCAAGUCCGCAUGGCCUUUAUGUCUGGGGCAACACACGUGCUACAAUGGAUGGUACAGAAGGCAGCAAAGCCGCAAGGUGGAGCAAAUCCGUAAAACCAUUCUCAGUUCGGAUUGUAGUCUGCAACUCGACUACAUGAAGUUGGAAUUGCUAGUAAUGACGCGUCAGCUACAGCGUCGUGAAUACGUUCCCGGGCCUUGUACACACCGCCCGU